GAGAACACCAUGCCCAUUUCAAGAAUACGCCAUUGCAAAAAUCCAAAACGUCCCUUUGUCCUCAAACCGUCAGCUAUUAAUUACAGACUUUGACAAGGGGGGUUAUGCAUACACAGAAGGUAACAAAAUGCCUUCGUGCGUGCAUCCCCCAGCGAAGCAAGCAACUCCAUCAUCUAGCUUUAGCUACCAAGCGGCGAAAACAGAGCAACAUCUGGUUGCAACCUCGUGUUCUCAUGUCACGGUGAGGGAUACAAGACGAGCCGAUGAAGAGGGCGCGGGGAAGCUGCUCGCAUCGGCAGCGAUCGUCGUCGGCUGGUGGUACCCGCGAGCGGCACUUCGCUCCAGCUGCUCCCACAUGAGCCUCCGCCGCUCCUCAGUCACGGCCCGCUUCUCCUCUUCCUCUUGGAAGUUGUCGUGGCAGGCUUGAAGCAGCCUCUCGUCCAUGUCGCGGAACAUUUUCCGCACGUUCAUGGUUACGUUGAGGACCGACUGGUUCCAGUGCCAGCGGGUGUUCCUCUCCAGAGCUGGGUAUAUGAUUGGUAGGAUUACUUGGCGGUUUUGGGAGAUCAUGUCGAAUAGGUGCUCGUUGUUCCAUAGGAACAAGGCUCUCUCUGCAACCUGCAAAAAAGCAUGCCAAGAAAAGGCAGUGCUUGAGUGUCAAAGGAUAAUCCCUUUACGCAACAAUGC
RNAcentral lists this unclassified non-coding RNA (687 nucleotides) under Zea mays. RNAcentral's name for it is "misc RNA Zm00001eb122430". Lineage: Eukaryota; Viridiplantae; Streptophyta; Magnoliopsida; Poales; Poaceae. The record is from RNAcentral.